Molecule: transfer RNA, 80 nt
Filed under: Plutella xylostella (diamondback moth)
Lineage: Eukaryota; Metazoa; Arthropoda; Insecta; Lepidoptera; Plutellidae
Description: tRNA-Ser
Source: RNAcentral
GCCGACCGAAUGGCGUAGUGGUUAUAUAGUGACCCUGACUACUGAGCUGAAGGUCCCGGGUUCGAUUCCCGGCUGGGGCA